CACAUGCAAGUCUCAGCACACCCGUGAGAACACCCUUCAUUCCUUUACCAGGCCAAGGAGUCGGCAUCAGGCACAGAACUCUAGCCCACAACGCCUAGUCUUACCACACCCCUAAGGGCAUCCAGCAGUGAUAAAUUUUAAACAUAAGCGUCAGCUUGAUUUAGUUAGAGAAAAAAGGGCCGGCCAAUCCGGUGCCAGCCGCCGCGGCUAAACCGUCAGACCCAAGUUAAUAACUUCCGGCGUUAAUCGUGAUUAAAGUACCCAAACACUAGAGUUAAAUUCUGACCCAGCCGUUAUAAGCUUGUCUAUUAGAAGCACACAAACGAAAGNUACUCUAUCCCUCACGUUAACACACNACAAUUAGGAGACAAACUGGGAUUAGAUACCCCACUAUG
This 395-nucleotide ribosomal RNA is filed under the name Lankanectes corrugatus (corrugated water frog). RNAcentral's name for it is "partial 12S ribosomal RNA". Lineage: Eukaryota; Metazoa; Chordata; Amphibia; Anura; Nyctibatrachidae. The record is from RNAcentral.